UACGUAGGCAGCAAGCGUUGUUCGGAAUUACUGGGCGUAAAGAGUGUGUAGGCGGUGCUCUAAGUCUGUUGUGAAAUCUCCCGGCUUAACCGGGAGGGUGCGGCGGAAACUGGAGUGCUUGAGGGUGGGAGAGGUAAGCGGAAUUCCUGGUGUAGCGGUGAAAUGCGUAGAUAUCUGGAGGAACACCGGUGGCGAAGGCGGCAUUCUGGACCGAUAUUGACGCUGAGGAGCGAAAGCCAGGGGAGCAAACGGG
This 253-nucleotide ribosomal RNA is filed under the name uncultured bacterium. RNAcentral describes it as "partial 16S ribosomal RNA". It matches the Rfam family "Bacterial small subunit ribosomal RNA", at positions 524 to 776 of the family's 1533-position model. The record is from RNAcentral.